GAGAAGAAGGCGAACUGGUACGCAAGCUCACUGUAAAUGGGUCGACCCUAUGGGUCAUGGGGGUUCGAAUCCCUCUCUUCUCA
Molecule: transfer RNA, 83 nt
Filed under: Funneliformis mosseae
Lineage: Eukaryota; Fungi; Glomeromycota; Glomeromycetes; Glomerales; Glomeraceae
Also listed under: 1 other name
Description: tRNA-Tyr
Rfam family: tRNA
About the family: Transfer RNA (tRNA) molecules are approximately 80 nucleotides in length. Their secondary structure includes four short double-helical elements and three loops (D, anti-codon, and T loops).
Source: RNAcentral